Molecule: ribosomal RNA, 301 nt
Filed under: uncultured bacterium
Lineage: Bacteria
Description: partial 16S ribosomal RNA
Rfam family: Bacterial small subunit ribosomal RNA
Source: RNAcentral
CAGCCGCCGCGGGAAUACAGAGGGUGCAAGCGUUAAUCUGAAUUACUGGGCGUAAAGCGCGCGUAGGUGGUUUGUUAAGUUGGAUGUGAAAUCCCCGGGCUCAACCUGGGAACUGCAUCCAAAACUGGCAAGCUAGAGUAUGGUAGAGGGUGGUGGAAUUUCCUGUGUAGCGGUGAAAUGCGUAGAUAUAGGAAGGAACACCAGUGGCGAAGGCGACCACCUGGACUGAUACUGACACUGAGGUGCGAAAGCGUGGGGAGCAAACAGGAUUAGAUACCCCUGUAGUCCCUGUCUCUUAUAC